CACCUAGCGGGGACAGGAUGUAUCGUCACCAACUGCCUGCAGCCAAAAGUGUAUUGAAGACAUGAGUGUAGCUGCCUACUAAAAUAGAUAGAGAAGUGAUGACAAGCAGGGACUGUGGAUGUCCGAACAGAGCUGCAGCUGUGGGGGAUUGAGGAGGGGAAAAUGAAUCUUCAGCUCACAUGGAUGAUGCGUUGGACAUUGCAGCUAGAGCUCCAUGUGUCUCAUCACAUAUUCCAUUCGAUCGUCAUUUGGCUCGCUUAGUCAUGUCUGUGUGGGUGGACGUCUACUGCCAAGUUGGAAAUGUUGGGUAGAAAAAUCCGAACAAGUGAAGCGCACAGUCACAAAUCAAACAGGGAACCUACAGUCUGUUAUGAUAAAAGA
This is a long non-coding RNA of Hyla sarda, 381 nucleotides long. RefSeq lists it as uncharacterized. NCBI's taxonomy places the organism in Eukaryota, Metazoa, Chordata, Amphibia, Anura, Hylidae. The transcript is spliced from 3 exons. The record is from RefSeq and is a predicted model, not a curated record.